CAUAAGUACAACCCUGAACGGUGGAUCACUCGGCUCGUGGGUCGAUGAAGAACGCAGCAAAUUGCGCGUCGACAUGUGAACUGCAGGACACAUGAACAUCGACAUUUCGAACGCACAUUGCGGUCCAUGGAUUCCGUUCCCGGACCACGCCUGGCUGAGGGUCGGUAGCUAAAA
Molecule: ribosomal RNA, 174 nt
Filed under: Leptophyes punctatissima
Lineage: Eukaryota; Metazoa; Arthropoda; Insecta; Orthoptera; Tettigoniidae
Also listed under: 3 other names
Description: 5.8S ribosomal RNA
Rfam family: 5.8S ribosomal RNA (bases 10-164)
About the family: 5.8S ribosomal RNA (5.8S rRNA) is a component of the large subunit of the eukaryotic ribosome. It is transcribed by RNA polymerase I as part of the 45S precursor that also contains 18S and 28S rRNA.
Source: RNAcentral